This 337-nucleotide long non-coding RNA is filed under the name Malus domestica (apple). Its description in RNAcentral is "long non-coding RNA (MDOM_LNC012036)". Lineage: Eukaryota; Viridiplantae; Streptophyta; Magnoliopsida; Rosales; Rosaceae. The record is from RNAcentral.
CAUGGUUUGAAAUUGUAUAAGUUAUAAUUGUAAAGGUUGUCUGCGCUUUGAAUUAUUUAGAUUCUUUUCAAAGAAAUCACCAUUAUUUUUGUCUAUGGUCUGAAAUUGUCAAAAUAAUUGUAAAAGUUGUCAGAAGUUCCUGAGUGUGUCCUGAGUCCUGAUAGGAGGAACCCCACACACACACACAACACACGCAACCACACACGCACACAACAACGCACGCACACAAACAUCACACAUGCAGACACAUAGAGACCUUUGUCUAUCUCUCUCGAUCCUUCUCUAUUCUCUCCAUUCUCCACUCAGAGAUCUCUCGAUCUCUCUUCUCCCUUCUCCC